Molecule: non-coding RNA, 26 nt
Filed under: Drosophila melanogaster (fruit fly)
Lineage: Eukaryota; Metazoa; Arthropoda; Insecta; Diptera; Drosophilidae
Source: RNAcentral
AGCGAUGAUACCGAAGAACGGGAAAU